AUUGAACGCUGGCGGCAGGCUUAACACAUGCAAGUCGGACGGUAACAGGUCUUUCGGGAUGCUGACGAGUGGCGGACGGGUGAGUAAUGCUUGGGAAUCUGUUUGUUAGUGGGGGAUAACUCGGGGAAACCAGGGCUAAUACCGCAUACGUCUUUAGGGGGAAAGCAGGGGAUCGUAAGACCUUGCGCUAAUGAGUGAGCCCAAGUCGGAUUAGUUUGUUGGUGAGGUAAAGGCUCACCAAGACUGCGAUCCGUAGCUGGUCUGAGAGGAUGAUCAGCCACACUGGGACUGAGACACGGCCCAGACUCCUACGGGAGGCAGCAGUGGGGAAUAUUGGACAAUGGGCGCAAGCCUGAUCCAGCCAUGCCGCGUGUGUGAAGAAGGUCUUAUGAUUGUAAAGCACUUUAAGUCAGGAGGAAGGUGCGAGGGCUAAUAUCUCUUGUGAUUGACGUUACU
RNAcentral lists this ribosomal RNA (456 nucleotides) under uncultured Gammaproteobacteria bacterium. Its description in RNAcentral is "bacterial SSU rRNA". It matches the Rfam family "Bacterial small subunit ribosomal RNA", at positions 30 to 479 of the family's 1533-position model. Lineage: Bacteria; Pseudomonadati; Pseudomonadota; Gammaproteobacteria. The record is from RNAcentral.